RNAcentral lists this ribosomal RNA (253 nucleotides) under uncultured bacterium. Its description in RNAcentral is "partial 16S ribosomal RNA". It matches the Rfam family "Bacterial small subunit ribosomal RNA", at positions 524 to 776 of the family's 1533-position model. The record is from RNAcentral.
UACGUAGGGUGCGAGCGUUGUCCGGAAUUAUUGGGCGUAAAGAGCUCGUAGGCGGUCUGUCGCGUCGAAUGUGAAAACCCGGGGCUCAACCCCGGGCCUGCAUUCGAUACGGGCAGACUAGAGUCCGGUAGGGGAGCGUGGAAUUCCUGGUGUAGCGGUGAAAUGCGCAGAUAUCAGGAGGAACACCAGCGGCGAAGGCGGCGCUCUGGGCCGGUACUGACACUGAGGAGCGAAAGCGUGGGUAGCAAACAGG